This 429-nucleotide ribosomal RNA is filed under the name Chloroflexota bacterium. RNAcentral describes it as "Chloroflexi bacterium partial 16S ribosomal RNA". It matches the Rfam family "Bacterial small subunit ribosomal RNA", at positions 355 to 776 of the family's 1533-position model. The record is from RNAcentral. Lineage: Bacteria; Bacillati; Chloroflexota.
UGGGGAAUAUUGCACAAUGGGCGCAAGCCUGAUGCAGCCAUGCCGCGUGUGUGAAGAAGGCCUUCGGGUUGUAAAGCACUUUCAGCGGGGAGGAAGGCGUUAAGGUUAAUAACCUUGGCGAUUGACGUUACCCGCAGAAGAAGCACCGACUAACUCCGUGCCAGCAGCCGCGGUAAUACGGAGGGUGCAAGCGUUAAUCGGAAUUACUGGGCGUAAAGCGCACGCAGGCGGUCUGUCAAGUCGGAUGUGAAAUCCCCGGGCUCAACCUGGGAACUGCAUUCGAAACUGGCAGGCUAGAGUCUUGUAGAGGGGGGUAGAAUUCCAGGUGUAGCGGUGAAAUGCGUAGAGAUCUGGAGGAAUACCGGUGGCGAAGGCGGCCCCCUGGACAAAGACUGACGCUCAGGUGCGAAAGCGUGGGGAGCAAACAGG